Magallana angulata is the source of this 3598-nucleotide long non-coding RNA. RefSeq lists it as uncharacterized. The transcript has 5 exons. The record is from RefSeq and is a predicted model, not a curated record. NCBI's taxonomy places the organism in Eukaryota, Metazoa, Mollusca, Bivalvia, Ostreida, Ostreidae.
AGCAUUACUAAUCAUGAUUUAUGCCUUUGCAGUUUGAUAUAUGGUAGGUAAUAACAACGUUUCAAAUUAUAGAUAUGUUGAUACACUCCUUAAUAUAUACACCUCAACAUGAACACUGUAAGCAGAUUCACAAAGUCUUUACACUAAAAGAAAUGAAAGUCAUUAUGAAGGUCACAACUUCACUCUGCAUUCAUAUAACUGUAUUAAUGGCGCAUCAGAAAGGUCUUCUUGCUCAAUACAACUGACAAAUACUAAAUCUCACUUCAACAAAGUCGAGGAUCUUUAAAAGUGUAUCAGUUUGAGUCCAUUUAAUGUUGGACGUAUGUCAGAGAGUGUGCUGUUUGUCAGUAUUACACCAGUAACAAACAACUAGUGUCCACAAAACAAAACAAACAAACAAACAAUAAGAAACAUACACAGGGACAAAGACAGAGAAUAGAGUAAGAGAGAGAGAGAGUUAGAGUUAGAGAGAGAGAGAGAGAGAGAGUUAGAGAGAGAGAGACUUAGAGAGAGAGAGAGAGAACCCACAUACACAUUGUUGGUUCUAUCGUAAUGGUGUAAAUCCGCCUUAAUAAUAUUAAAUUAUCGAUUCGGAAAUGCAUUGUACGCGGUUUUUUUAAAAAUAUGAUACAUGUAUCCUUGAGGGGUAACUGGUAGGUAUUAAGCAGAUAAAAGAAAAGAAAUUGCUCAAUUGGUAAGUAAUGCAACUUUGAUUAUUAAAACCCUUUUUAAUUGUGCUGAUAAUAACCUAAAAAGGUUUGUUCAUAUUACAAUAUUUUAUGUGCGCAAUUGUGACUAAACACGAACAAUUUUGCUUUAAUUUGAAGAAUUUUCUACAACUUCAUUUGAUUUGUCCUUGAUAACUUUACAUUAUCUUAUACCUAUUUAUUUUUUUGCUUUCAUGAAACAUCAAUUUUGAUAUUUUCUUUUUAUAAAUUUAUGUAUUUUUGUAAGAUAAUAUGUUUAUUCAGAGAUUAUUUUACAUAACAAUAUCAUACAUGUUUUCUUCAACAAAAUAGCGUGGUGUAUAUAUUGACAUUGUUAAUUAUGUUAUUAACAACUCAAAAAGUAAAGCAAUGUAUAUCAAAGUAAAGAAAUGUAUUACACCUGCUUUAUAUUCAACAAAUAUCAACAGUUUUCUGUUCAUUUAUAUGUUUUAAUCACGUUUUCAAAGAGGUAACUCACUGAGGGAAAUCACCAACCUCUGAAUAGAUAAGAACGUACUUAUAACGUGGAUAUCCACCAUACCGACAAACCUGCUGAGAUUUCGUCAUCUUGAAUCACCUUUCGAUAGUUCCGGGUGAAUGUAACCUGCAAAUCAUUUGACGACAGACAACAAGAAACACUUAAGGCUUGUGUCCGUUCACCGUACAGACAUAGGGAGUAAUUUGGCCGCAAACAAAGUCAGAAACAUCGGUAGAAACCAGCUAUAUAGUGUAGUCCGUUCACCGUACACACCUAGGGAGUAAUUUGGUUGAAGCAAAGUCUUUAAACAUCAUACAGAAGUUCAGAAAUAAUAAAAUGGGAGAAGUACAUCUUAAUUGUACCGUUGUGGAUAUCAAAGAACACAUGAAGAUACGCUCUCUUAAAACAAUGCUCUUUCUUAUAUCAAAUGCGGAUUUAUGCUAUGGAGUUCUACAAUCAAACUUUCGACGUCAAAACUGUACACAAUUUUUAUGAAAAUUUCUCCGAAUGAAUAAUGUUGCCUGUUUUCUUUUUCCGAACCAAGUAAAUUACGUAAGGGAUCAUUUGAGGCACUACUUCGAAAAGCCAACUGCGGUUACAAAUGUGAUUGUUAUAUAUACUUGUAUUUCUAUAUCAAUGAAUUCAUUUGAUGCUCAUUUGUAAUAAAUUAGCGUUUAACUUAACAUAUAUUUACUUUUAUUCUACUUUUAGCGAAGCAUUCAAGACAUGUAAUAGUUAUAGGAUACCAACCAUUAAAAGCUACGUUACAUAGAGCAAUUAUACAGAUUUAAUCGAAAUACAACCAGCACAUUGCUCUUUAUUAUAAGAUUGAGUGCCACACACGUCACAAAAUGCUUCCCGUGUGUACAUUACCAAAAUCUUUAUGUUAGUCUACUGUUUAGCGCUGGCUGGUUAUUGACAACCAAAUCAUGUGCCCCUUUUACAAUUUUCUUGCAAUAUUUAUUUGUAUAUAUAUAUAUAUAUAUAUAUAUAUAUAUAUAUAUAUAUAUAUAUAUAUAUAUAUAUAUAUAUAUAUAUAUAUUUAUAUAUUUCACCUUGCUGGUUUACCGGUUAUGUGACUGUCGUUCAUGUAGCGUAUGAUGCUUUUAGUCGUUGUUCUGCUUUGAACAGAACAGAGCUUUAAUUUUGUCAUUUCAGUUACUGUGUAAUUUUAAUUUUGUGUUAUUUAAUGUUAUUUGUAAUUACCAAUGAAAAUCAAAGUAGACAUCCUUAGUAUGUAUGGUCUAUCUUUGUUGCUUUGGUUUGUAGGGCUGAAUCAGUUCUAUUGUGAAUGGCUAAAUGUAUAUUAUUUUGCCCUCAUCUAUUAUGAGUAUUUGUAUUAUUUAUUGAGAGGUAUCCAACUAUCAAUGUCAGAAUGAAAUUAGUCUGCCUUCAUCGUUUGGCCUUUUAUACAAAUGUUAUUCUGCAAAUAUAUUGUUAUACCGGUUGUCUGUUCAGAUCUCUACUCCAUCUUUACCUCUUAUGUUCAGAAUUAUCCAACUAUCAAUGUCAGAAUGAAAUUAGUCUGCCUUCAUCGUUUGGCCUUUUAUACAAAUGUUAUUCUGCAAAUAUAUUGUUAUACCGGUUGUCUGUUCAGAUCUCUACUCCAUCUUUACCUCUUAUGUUCAGAAUUAAAAAAUCUGGAUUUAUGUAUAUACAUUUUUAUUUGCAUCUGCUGCUUUUGUUUUAUUAUAGUUCUUGCCAAGCAGCCUUCGGGUGGGUGGUUUGGUGGCCUAUUUUUUUUUUUUGUUUCUACUCACCUUUUUUGUGGGCAGGCAUUUUUUUUAUGCUUGUUUUUACUUAUGUGUCUACAGUAAGGGGUCUGUCAUGUAUUUUUUUGUAGAUAUUUAUUUUCCAUAUGUGUCCCCUAUUUUGUAUAUAUCUUUUCGUCAUUUACUAAAUAAUGACAAUUUUCAUUCUUACACAUGUGUUCUGUUUCAUGCCUGCUUUAGCUAAAAACAAGCUCAGCCUCCUUAGCUAGAACAUAAAAGCUAAGGAACAUAAAUUAAUGAUUAUUGUAAAUAAUAACUUUUAUGUGACGUGCUGUGUUUAUUUGUUUGUUUAUCUCACUUUACACUGUUCCAUACUUUGUUUAUGUAAUCUCCUGAGGUCUAUGUUUACCCUAACCCUUAAUUUGUACUUCUAGUCUAAUCAGAUGUGUUCAAUUUGUCACGUGUCUCUUAUUGAUCUGUUUAUUUUGAACAAUAAGCCACGCAUUUGCUGUGCAGUGAAAUUUGUACCCACCGUCCACCCCUUCUACCUCCUUAGAUAGUUAUUUAUAUUUGUAAUAAUAGGGGGUCAUGGUUGCAUUCAGCACCACAUGUUUUAUUACUAUGUAACAUGUUUUUGAAUGCCCCCUUUUUUGUACAUAUAUUUUCGUCAUUUACUAAAUAGAUUACAAUUUUUAUUCUUA